CCCGGGCCCAGGGCGGGCAGACAGGCCUAAUUCCGUUCCUCUCAACCCCAAGCAGGAGGAGGCUCUCGAUGGCCAGCCACCGAGAACGUUAGCGGAAGGUCUCAGCCGCCGUGUCCGAGAGGAGGCCGGAGGCCGGACCCCACGUGCGGCGGAGGAGGAAGAAGGAAGGAAGGCCGCAGGAGGUCCUCACGGAAGAAGGCAUCAUAUACAGCCCAGGCGCCGCUGGGCUGCUCUGUGCUGGACACGGGCAGUCCACACACUAAGAUCCCUGUCUUCAUGGGACCGGGAGUCAGUAAAGUAGAAGGCAUGUGAGAAGUCACUAGAAAAAGCUGUAGGAGGACAGGAACAGCUGAAGUCCAGGGGGAAGAGGGUUUUCCCUCUGUUCUGUUUCCAAAAAGAAAGACUUACAAUCAGUGUGUGGACAACCUGUAUUUUCAAGCCACAUCAUCAGUGGCCAGGAUGCUGCUAUCAGACGCUGGCCUUGGCAAGUCAGCCUUCAUUUGGACAGGGCCCCUAUCUGCGGAGGGUCCCUCAUCAGUAAGAACUGGAUACUGACCGCCGCACACUGCCUACCAAAGUGCUGUCCCUCAGCUCUUCAGCUCAAGGACCUCAGCUUAUUCAUACACUGUUUGGCUGGGAUCCCUUAAAGCAGAUGCCUCAAAUAAAGGCAAGGUAUACUAUGUGUCCCGAAUCAUCGUCCACCCCAAAUACGAUGGCUCAAAUGCAGACAUUGCCUUGCUCAGACUGUCCUCCCAAGUCACCUUCUCUGCGGAGAUCCUACCCAUCUGCCUGCCCAGUACCUCAAAGCGGCUGAAGAUCCCAGCUUCUUGUUGGGUGACUGGAUGGGGACUAGUUAAGGAGAAUGCAGGU
This is a long non-coding RNA of Dipodomys spectabilis (banner-tailed kangaroo rat), 870 nucleotides long. RefSeq lists it as uncharacterized. The record is from RefSeq and is a predicted model, not a curated record. Lineage: Eukaryota; Metazoa; Chordata; Mammalia; Rodentia; Heteromyidae. The transcript has 5 exons.